This 318-nucleotide long non-coding RNA is filed under the name Amborella trichopoda. RNAcentral describes it as "long non-coding RNA (ATRI_LNC000978)". The record is from RNAcentral. Lineage: Eukaryota; Viridiplantae; Streptophyta; Magnoliopsida; Amborellales; Amborellaceae.
UUUCCAGUUGAUCAUCUCGACCAAUUGAUAAUCUUGACCUCAAGAUAUAUAGAUGUACAAAAGAAAAAAACCAAGAUUUAAAUCUUGAAAAUAGUGCAUCUUGUAAUAUAUUACACGAAACAUUGAUUUUCAAGAUCUUCAAGUGUUCAUAGAUAAGCUAGAUCUACACUAUUUUUAAAGCUUAAAAUUUUCAUUAGAAAUGAAAAUAGACCAUCACAUGCAUUUUUAACACUAAAAUAGCAUCUUUCGACAUCAUUUGGAGGUGCACCUUACCUUUGAUUGAUCAAGGUACCAACCUUUACAAACCUCACCCUUUCC